Molecule: ribosomal RNA, 231 nt
Filed under: uncultured bacterium
Lineage: Bacteria
Description: partial 16S ribosomal RNA
Rfam family: Bacterial small subunit ribosomal RNA
Source: RNAcentral
GAUCAUGGCUCAGGAUGAACGCUAGCUACAGGCUUAACACAUGCAAGUCGAGGGGAAACGACAUCGAAAGCUUGCUUUUGAUGGGCGUCGACCGGCGCACGGGUGAGUAACGCGUAUCCAACCUGCCCAUCACUUGGGAAUAACCUUGCGAAAGUAAGACUAAUGCCCAAUGAUAUCCCUACGAAGGCAUCCGAAUGGGAUAAAGAUUUAUCGGUGAUGGAUGGGGAUCGU